Molecule: RNA transcript, 558 nt
Organism: Arabidopsis thaliana (thale cress)
Lineage: Eukaryota; Viridiplantae; Streptophyta; Magnoliopsida; Brassicales; Brassicaceae
Exons: 1
Source: RefSeq
AUUAAACCAUCCAUACAUUAUAGUUUUGUCAUGACCAAACGUAUGCGUAAAUCCAGCCGGUGCGGUUGCUGCACAGCUUCCUGUAUCAUCUUAACCAUUCUCAUCCUCAUCUUCGUCAUUGUCUUACUCUUGGUUUUCGAAGUUCACAAACCGAAAAAACCUAUAACGCAGAUCUAAUCACACACCGAACUAGGCGUCGUAUAUCCUUACCAUUUGAUGUUCAGCUCAAUUUCACACUUAUUAGUCUCCAUAUUCUAGUCAAGAAUCGCAACAAUAAGUUUCAAGCACGAGAUAGGGAAGACAUUAGUGGUACACAGAGAGAAGCAACUUGGUGUUGUUGAUCUUCCCUCGGGUACAAUGCCGGCUAAAGUUUCUUCAAUUCUACCUUGUCUUCUUACUCUUCAGAGCGAUAAGCUUGUUUCGACAUAAGUGGUAUCAUGCUAGAUAUAUUGGGUGGAAAGAUUGUGUUGGAAACAAAGACACGAAAAGUCAAGUUGUUUGGAAUCUUCAAGUUGUAAAACCACUACUAACGACUGUAUUUUUCAUCCCUACUCUCUC